RNAcentral lists this ribosomal RNA (492 nucleotides) under uncultured bacterium. RNAcentral's name for it is "partial 16S ribosomal RNA". It matches the Rfam family "Bacterial small subunit ribosomal RNA", at positions 30 to 507 of the family's 1533-position model. The record is from RNAcentral.
AUUGAACGCUGGCGGCAUGCUUUACACAUGCAAGUCGAACGGUAACAGGCCUUCGGGUGCUGACGAGUGGCGCACGGGUGAGUAAUGCAUCGGAACGUGCCCAGAGGUGGGGGAUAACGCAGCGAAAGCUGUGCUAAUACCGCAUGUGAUCUGAGGAUGAAAGCGGGGGACCAGGCAGCAAUGUUUGGCCUCGCGCCUUUGGAGCGGCCGAUGUCAGAUUAGGUAGUUGGUGGGGUAAAGGCCUACCAAGCCGACGAUCUGUAGCUGGUCUGAGAGGACGAACAGCCACACUGGGACUGAGACACGGCCCAGACUCCUACGGGAGGCAGCAGUGGGGAAUUUUGGACAAUGGGCGCAAGCCUGAUCCAGCAAUGCCGCGUGCGGGAAGAAGGCCUUCGGGUUGUAAACCGCUUUUGUUCGGAACGAAAAGGCUCUGGCUAAUACCUGGGGCUGAUGACGGUACCGGAAGAAUAAGCACCGGCUAACUACGUG